UAUAAUUAUCACUCAAAAAAGUAAAAGGAACUGGAAUCUACAUUAAUUUUUUCCUGUCACACCUCAUUCUACAGUGAGGGACUAAAUAACUUACCAAUUAAUUAAUUUAGAUAAAUUUGAUGACUAGAAUUGACCAGGGAGAUAUUUGAAAGAAAAUUCAAUUUAAAGCCUAAAUUGCAUUUUCUCCAAAUAAGUAUAAUUUAUAAUGAAAAUAAAAGGGUCAAAACUUAAAGUUAGGUUCAAGCCCAGAACUGAAAAUUGAGCCGUGGCACUACUGGUUAGGGCAGAAGAAGAAGAGGAGGAGGAAGACGCCAUGACUGGAGAAGAAUUAGCAGGCCCCCCUGGCCCUAAGCUCACUCGCCUCGUAUACUUCGUUGGUGCCGCCUUCAUUUGUGUGAUUGGAAUCAACAAGUGGCGUGAUUUACAGAACAAAUCCAUGGUUUUACAGCAGGAUCCCAAGCUUCAGCAACCACAAAAGCAGCCCUAGCUCUCCCUGAACUGAAAUAAUAUCCAGUUUUUAUUUAUUUAAAUUAAAGAUACUGUUAUUAAUAAAAACAAAUUGAUGGUUUUGGAGCUUUGUAAUGUAAUUAAUUUCAUUCAAGGUGAUGAUGAUGAUAUGACAUUUUAUAUAUUUGUGUGUAUUGUUGACCUGAACUUGAUAUUAUUUCAAAUACAAAAAGGGUUUCACAGAA
This is a long non-coding RNA of Humulus lupulus (European hop), 692 nucleotides long. RefSeq lists it as uncharacterized. NCBI's taxonomy places the organism in Eukaryota, Viridiplantae, Streptophyta, Magnoliopsida, Rosales, Cannabaceae. The record is from RefSeq and is a predicted model, not a curated record. The transcript is spliced from 2 exons.